Molecule: transfer RNA, 69 nt
Filed under: Glossaulax reiniana
Lineage: Eukaryota; Metazoa; Mollusca; Gastropoda; Littorinimorpha; Naticidae
Description: tRNA-Ser
Rfam family: tRNA
About the family: Transfer RNA (tRNA) molecules are approximately 80 nucleotides in length. Their secondary structure includes four short double-helical elements and three loops (D, anti-codon, and T loops).
Source: RNAcentral
GAGUUGUUAUCCGCGGGGAAUGUUUGUCUUGAAAACAAAUAACGAGUGUUCGACUCACUCAGCAACUUA